AGCGAACGCUGGCGGCAGGCUUAACACAUGCAAGUCGAACGGUCAUCUUCGUAUGUCAUUGGCAGACGGGUGAGUAACACGUGGGAACGUACCCUUCGUUUCUGAAUAACUCAGGUAUACUUGAGCUAAUACCGGAUACGCCCUUUUUGGGGAAGGUUUACUGCCGAAGGAUCGGCCGGGGUCUGAUUAGCUUGUUGUUGGGGUAACGUCCUCUCAAGGCGUGGAUCAGUAGCUGUUCUGGGAGGAUGAUCAGCCACACUGGGAAUGAGACACAGCAGAGACGAAUACGGGAGGAAGCGGUGGGGAAUAAUGGAGAAAGGGCGCGAGACUGAUCGAGCCAUGCCGGGUGAGAGAUGAAGGCGUUAGGGAUGUAAAGCUCUUUUGUCUGGGACGAUGAUGACGGUACCGGAAGAAUAAGCCCCGGCUAACUACGUG
RNAcentral lists this ribosomal RNA (435 nucleotides) under uncultured bacterium. RNAcentral describes it as "partial 16S ribosomal RNA". It matches the Rfam family "Bacterial small subunit ribosomal RNA", at positions 29 to 507 of the family's 1533-position model. The record is from RNAcentral.